Molecule: ribosomal RNA, 715 nt
Filed under: Priestia aryabhattai
Lineage: Bacteria; Bacillati; Bacillota; Bacilli; Caryophanales; Bacillaceae
Description: bacterial SSU rRNA
Rfam family: Bacterial small subunit ribosomal RNA
Source: RNAcentral
GUCGAGCGAACUGAUUAGAAGCUUGCUUCUAUGACGUUAGCGGCGGACGGGUGAGUAACACGUGGGCAACCUGCCUGUAAGACUGGGAUAACUUCGGGAAACCGAAGCUAAUACCGGAUAGGAUCUUCUCCUUCAUGGGAGAUGAUUGAAAGAUGGUUUCGGCUAUCACUUACAGAUGGGCCCGCGGUGCAUUAGCUAGUUGGUGAGGUAACGGCUCACCAAGGCCACGAUGCAUAGCCGACCUGAGAGGGUGAUCGGCCACACUGGGACUGAGACACGGCCCAGACUCCUACGGGAGGCAGCAGUAGGGAAUCUUCCGCAAUGGACGAAAGUCUGACGGAGCAACGCCGCGUGAGUGAUGAAGGCUUUCGGGUCGUAAAACUCUGUUGUUAGGGAAGAACAAGUACGAGAGUAACUGCUCGUACCUUGACGGUACCUAACCAGAAAGCCACGGCUAACUACGUGCCAGCAGCCGCGGUAAUACGUAGGUGGCAAGCGUUAUCCGGAAUUAUUGGGCGUAAAGCGCGCGCAGGCGGUUUCUUAAGUCUGAUGUGAAAGCCCACGGCUCAACCGUGGAGGGUCAUUGGAAACUGGGGAACUUGAGUGCAGAAGAGAAAAGCGGAAUUCCACGUGUAGCGGUGAAAUGCGUAGAGAUGUGGAGGAACACCAGUGGCGAAGGCGGCUUUUUGGUCUGUAACUGACGCUGAGGCGCGAA